Molecule: ribosomal RNA, 378 nt
Filed under: Pantoea sp. TU37
Lineage: Bacteria; Pseudomonadati; Pseudomonadota; Gammaproteobacteria; Enterobacterales; Erwiniaceae
Description: bacterial SSU rRNA
Rfam family: Bacterial small subunit ribosomal RNA
Source: RNAcentral
UCCAGAGCAUUCAGCAGCGAGAUUGUUGGGACUUCGGGAACUAUGAGACAGGUGCAGCAUCUCCGUUGCCAGCUUCUGUUGUGAAAUUUUAGGUUAAGUUUCGCAACGAGCGCAAGCCUUAUCCUUUGCUCCCAGCGAUUCGGUCGGGAACUCAAAGGAGACUGCCGGUGAUAAACCGGAGGAAGGUGGGGAUGACGUCAAGUCAUCAUGGGCCUUACGAGUAGGGCUACACACGUAAUACAAUGGUGCGUACAAAGGGAAGCGACCUCGCGAGGGCAAGCAGACCUCAUAAACUCCAUCGUAGUCCGGAACGGACUCUGCAACUCGACUCCGGAAGCCGGAAUCGCUAGUAAUCGUGGAUCAGAAGCCUCGGGAAUA